Molecule: ribosomal RNA, 207 nt
Filed under: uncultured bacterium
Lineage: Bacteria
Description: partial 16S ribosomal RNA
Rfam family: Bacterial small subunit ribosomal RNA
Source: RNAcentral
UGCGUAGGCGGUUGCCUAAGUCAGAUGUGAAAUCCCCGGGCUUAACUCGGGUGGUGCAUUUGAAACUGGGCGGCUAGAGUGCAGGAGAGGGAAGCGGAAUUCCUAGUGUAGCGGUGAAAUGCGUAGAUAUUAGGAGGAACACCAGUGGCGAAGGCGGCUUUCUGGACUGUAACUGACGCUGAGGCACGAAAGCGUGGGGAGCAAACA